Leptonychotes weddellii (Weddell seal) is the source of this 990-nucleotide long non-coding RNA. RefSeq lists it as uncharacterized. Lineage: Eukaryota; Metazoa; Chordata; Mammalia; Carnivora; Phocidae. The record is from RefSeq and is a predicted model, not a curated record.
UCGGGCCAGGCGCCAAGCGACCGUCCGAUGGCAACGGUGUGCUGGUCCCUCGAUGAGCAGAAGGCGGGGCGUCCGAGGCGGCCCCAGGGCAGACGCAGAGGGACGCACAGAUGGAGAGGACACGGGUGCGUCUGCGGGGAGAGCAAGUCGCUGUUCUCGCUUGAGUGAUUACGAGCAUGGAGGGAGCUGAUUGUGCCCGGGGCGGUGUCCGUGGGCGCGGGGCCCUGGGGGCCUGUUUCCGCCACCCCCGUGCCACUUCAUCUGGAGUAGUCCGCUGGGUCCAGAGCAGAAAGUGACCUCACACGUGAGCCCGUCUCUGUCCUGUGCCACGUUCUGGGGGCUUAACCCACGCACCUCCCUCUCUGGACGCCAGAGCCUGAGCCCCAGGCAUCGGCAGGGCUGUGCUCCCCGGAAGGUUCCAGGGCGGGUCCUGCCUGCCUGUCGCGGCUGUGGCCGGUUACCCGGACUCCUCCGUGUUCCGUGGCUUGUGGCACGUCACCCCAGGCUCUGUCACAUGGCCUUCUCCGUGUGUGUCUGCGGGUCCUCUGCUCACGAAGACGCCAGCCGUUGGGGUGAGGGCCCCCUCUAAUCCCUUAUGACCACAUCUUAACUUGGUUACAUCUACAAAGACCUUAUUUCCAAAUAAAGGCACGAUAUGCUGUUUCAGGUGCACAUGAACUUUGGGGGAACCCUAUUCAACCCAGUCCACUGUCCCACGAUCCCACACGACGGAUGAGGAACCUGAUCUAAAGGGUGUCUCCCCCCGCACCCCGCCCCCCCAGUGCCCAGCUUCCCUAGACGCUCUGGGCCUCCCGUGCUUGCCACUGAGCAUGCAAAACUCUCGGGCCCCACUUCUGGCUGGCUGGGGUCCCCCCUCUGGGGUCCAUCCUCCCUCUCCCUCCAGUUUACAGAUAGACUGUGAAGUGGAUAAACUGGGAUGCAGUAGGUGGUGUGUGCUGGCUCUUAUCUAAUAAAAGGUAAAAGUAUGAA